UUUUGCAUGGGCAGUGGAGUCCAAGUGACUCCUGUCUCUUGCUGUUGUUGCAGCUGCUGGGAGGAACAGCUGCCAGGAAUGGAAACAACGUAAAGGAAUAUCCAUGAGGAACAGGAGAAGAGGAAAUAAGGAGAAAUAUGCAUUAAAAUGAAAGAAGAGACACAUGGACUUGGAAUGCAAAAGGAGGGAAAUGAAUCUACACAAGACACAUUCUCCUCAAUUAAUGUACCUGAAUCAGAGUUUGAGGGAAGUGUCUCGAUCUAUUUGGGAUUUGGAGAUGUUAUUGAUCCAAAGCACCAGCUAGAGUGCCAGUACAAGUUGUACUCUGGCGUGUGAGUGUCUUCUGCAAGGCUGGAGUCCUGCCAGGCUCCCCUGAACUUAUCUUCUGCAAACUUUUCCCCUUUGUGGCCUGAGGCUGACGGCUCUGCCCGGCUCCCUGAAGUAGCUGGGUGCUUUUCCAGAAGAGAUCUGACACACUGUGGACUCACCUUUAGCUUUGGCUGAGGGCAGAGAUGCUGCUAUGACUGGCUGAAUAUUUGAGAAGCCAAGCAGGCUGGAACUGCCGUUUUGGUACUUACGUAAGGAUACGUGUGCUCAGGGUAGAAUGUGUCUGUUCUUCCCUUACCGAGACCGCAUUACAAGCAGCGGGUACAUUUACUUUGCCCCAGAACUUGCACUUCCACACGGAGAAAGCAACCUGCCUCAGAUCCUCAAAUGCAUGUACUGGAUAAAAGAAAACAAGAUUCUUUUGUGGCUUGUGUAAUUUGAGGAGCAAACAUGGAUGUUUACCCUGUGCCAAAUUCUGCCCACAUAAGCAGAUCAGACUUUUUUUUUUAAAUGUUGUUCUGGGAGGUCAGAGCCUAUUUUGUUUGCUGCAUUUUUUUUGCUUAGUGAAGCAAAGUUCACAGGAGCCAGAGUAAUGAUUUGAUUUCCAAGUUUUUUUCAUUUCCCACUAUGUGCAUAGUUAAACAUAACUGUGGUAGUCUUGGCUUUGAUCAGUAGCAAAGAAGCUGUAACUUCUAAAUAAGCAAUAAACCCCAUUGUCCAUUUUUUUGAAAUGUCA
This 1063-nucleotide long non-coding RNA is filed under the name Apteryx owenii (little spotted kiwi). RNAcentral's name for it is "lncRNA (ENSAOWG00000002449.1)". Lineage: Eukaryota; Metazoa; Chordata; Aves; Apterygiformes; Apterygidae. The record is from RNAcentral.